AUUGAACGCUGGCGGCAGGCUUAACACAUGCAAGUCGAGCGGGGGAAGGUAGCUUGCUACCGGACCUAGCGGCGGGCGGGUGAGUAAUGCUUAGGAAUCUGCCUCUUAGUGGGGGAAAACAUCUCGAAAGGGAUGCUAAUAACGCAUACGUCCUACGGGAGAAAGCAGGGGAUGUUCGGACCUUGCGGCAAUAGGUGAGUCUAAGUCGGAUUAGCAAGUUGGUGGGGUAAAGGCCUACCAAGGCGACGAUCUGUAGCGGGUCUGAAAGGAUGAUCCGCCACACUGGGACUGGGACACGGCCCAGACUCCUACGGGAGGCAGCAGUGGGGAAUAUUGGACAAUGGGGGGAACCCUGAUCCAGCCAUGCCGCGUGUGUGAAGAAGGCCUUAUGGUUGUAAAGCACUUUAAGCGAGGAGGAGGCUACUUUAGUUAAUACCUAGAGAUAGUGGACGUUACUCGCAGAAUAAGCACCGGCUAACUCUGUGCCAGCCGCCGCAGUAG
RNAcentral lists this ribosomal RNA (501 nucleotides) under uncultured bacterium. Its description in RNAcentral is "partial 16S ribosomal RNA". It matches the Rfam family "Bacterial small subunit ribosomal RNA", at positions 30 to 523 of the family's 1533-position model. The record is from RNAcentral.